RNAcentral lists this long non-coding RNA (955 nucleotides) under Nicotiana tabacum (common tobacco). Its description in RNAcentral is "long non-coding RNA (NTAB_LNC017542)". Lineage: Eukaryota; Viridiplantae; Streptophyta; Magnoliopsida; Solanales; Solanaceae. The record is from RNAcentral.
UUCAGAGGUUAAUAAAUAUGGAAUUUUCUCUGGUAAAAGUCUAAAACUGAUUCAUACCUCUCUAUAACAGCAUUUUUAUAUAACAAUUAUUUACUAUAAAAUCAAAUUUUUCUUAGAACCGAUUUUUAAAUUAUAUUUUACUUCUCUAUAAUAACAUUUUACCUAUAACAACAACAACCAUAUUUAUAACAGAACACUCUUUGUAAAAAUUAUCCCUCUAUAACAGCUAUAUAGAAUCUUUAAGAUUACUAAUAAUAAUUCUAAAAAUAUGCACACAAUCUUUUACAUUAAAUAAAGUUUCUAUCUUGCCUAAGACAUAAGAUUUGAAGAUCUGCACAUGAUAUAUUUUUCAUUGAAUACAUUUUUGCUGAGAAUUUGGACAUGAAAGUUCGCCAAUUCAAACAUUAUAUCUGUAGUAAGAUAAUGAAAUCUACGAAAUUUUUACAAUUAUAAAAUUCUUCCAUCAAUUUUGAAAGAAUUUAUUUUCCCAGUAACUUUAAAAUGUGUGCAGUCGUGNNNNNNNNNNNNNNNNNNNNNNNNNGGUUACGAAAACUAUCCAAUAGAUGGCAACGUUAACCAACAAAAAUUCAGAGGUUUAAUAAAUAUGGAAUUUUUCUCUGGUAAAAGUCUAAAACUGAUUCAUACCUCUCUAUAACAGCAUUUUUAUAUAACAAUUAUUUACUAUAAAAUCAAAUUUUUCUUAGAACCGAUUUUUAAAUUAUAUUUUACUUCUCUAUAAUAACAUUUUACCUAUAACAACAACAACCAUAUUUAUAACAGAACACUCUUUGUAAAAAUUAUCCCUCUAUAACAGCUAUAUAGAAUCUUUAAGAUUACUAAUAAUAAUUCUAAAAAUAUGCACACAAUCUUUUACAUUAAAUAAAGUUUCUAUCUUGCCUAAGACAUAAGAUUUGAAGAUCUGCACAUGAUAUAUUUUUCAUUGAAUACAUUUUUG